Dreissena polymorpha is the source of this 662-nucleotide long non-coding RNA. RefSeq lists it as uncharacterized. The record is from RefSeq and is a predicted model, not a curated record. The transcript has 2 exons. NCBI's taxonomy places the organism in Eukaryota, Metazoa, Mollusca, Bivalvia, Myida, Dreissenidae.
AAUUCAAAUUGUAUUCAUCUGAUCUUCACCAAACUUGGUCAGCAGUUGCAUCUAGUUGAUAUCUAGGCCAAGUUCGAAUAUGGGUCAUGCCGGGUCAAAAACUAGGUCAUAGGGUCAAUUAGUGCAUUUUCAACGGCGCCACUUUGUCCGGACUCUAAUUCAAAUUGUAUUCAUCCGAUCUUCACCAAACUUGGUCAGUAGUUGCAUCUAGUUGAUAUCUAGGUCAAGUCCGAAUAUGGGUCAUGCUGGGUCAAAAACUAGGUCAAAGGGUCAAUUAGUGCAUUUUACUUUGUCAGGACUCUAAUUCAAAUUGUAUAAAUCUUAUCUUCACCAAACUUGGUCAGUAGUUGCAUCUAGUUGAUAUCUAGGCCAAGUUCGAAUAUGGGUCAUGCCAGGUAAAAAACUAGGUCAUAGGGUCAAUUAGUCCAUUUUCAACAGCGCCACUUUGUCCGGACUCUUAUUCAAAUUGUAUUCAUCCGAUCUUUACCAAACUUGGUCAGUAGUUUCAAGAUAAGUAAUAUCAGUACAGGAAAUACUGCCAUUCUAUACCUAUGUAGGUCUAAACAAUUAUGAUUUAAAUAUUGUGUUUUAGAGAACAAAUGAGACUAAGUGUACACUUAUUGAUAUCAAUGCAUAUAUAUGAAUAUAUCAGUUAUAUAAGU